ACGAGCUCCAAGCACGCCUUCAACCGGAAACCGGAGCAACUCACCGCGGCGGGAUCGAGAACCCAGGGCUUUCCGAGCUGAGCAGCGAGUUCGGCGGCGGCUUUCAUGGAGGGAAGCCAGUCAGGUGUAAGCGUGCCGACGUUGACGAAGAGAGCGUGAAUAUGAGGUGUGAAAUCGGCAACCUCAGCGACCGAAUGAACCAUCGCCGGCGAUGCGCCGGCGGAUAAAAGCGUGUUGGCCACGAGGUCCAUUGAGACGAAGUUGGUGAUGCACUGAACCAGCGGCGAUUGUCGCCGGACGGCCGUAAGGUGCGUCCACACGCCGGAGCUCCAUUCUUUUGAUUCCAUUCUGCUUAACCAAUCGUCAAUCACGAUUCAAUUAUAUAUCAGAAACACGGUUUGGUUUUAAUUUCAUAAAGCCGAGAAUUUUUAUACCGGUUCAGACCCAACCAAAUAAUGCAAUUAAACCGGGAGGACACAGAGCGUACUGAAUUCUUAGCCAAACUAACUCUUGCAGAAGACUUGUACUCGAACACAGCUUCAUGAACGACUUCUAUUUAACGUUCGAGCUUCACUGAAACUACAUCUUUACUAAAUAAAAGCAGCUAAACUGAAGAAAACAAAUCCUUCAUUAUGUGCUUGCUUGUUUGCUCAUGGUUGAAAAUUUAGUAGUUAUGAUUGCAGUACUAUCUACUCAUAUCUAAACCACACCAACAACAACAAACUGAGCAAAUAUCCGACAAUGAGUUACAUGCGUUGGUAGCAUUCUUCCCAUGAAAGACCUUCGUUUUUGGAACAAACCACUCGAAGGUGAUACAUGGUUUAUGAGCUCUCUCUUUCUAGGAUAUUACCCAAACCAGAGGUAAGGUUCAAUAUCAGAAUCUUCAAAAAGAAAGCCUUUGAGCUUCAAAGGGAUCAUGGAAUUAAUAUGCACGGACUUGGCCUCGAAACUCUUUCGGUCAAUGCCAGUCUCCACGGACCCGUAUGUUGCUUGGAUAGUGUGGGACUAAAAGAAGAGAACUCAUAAAAGAAAAUAUUUACGCAGCAACAAAACCACAAUAUAUGCAACUCUAUAAUUUCUUCAAAGAUUAUAGGAACUCGUAUGCAAUAAAUCCGUGCAUAGCCCAGAUUACUAGGAAUCCGGGUAAGCAAUUCAAUAUUUCAACUGAGUUUCAGACGAUUUAUAACAUACCAAAGGGACACAACCAAAAGAAACAAAUCAAAGAGUUGUGUAAUAAAACCAGGAACAACAAAAUAUUACGAAAUCAAAACUAGGAAACCAAACAUCAAAAUCGAUUCAAGAGAGUAAAAGGACCAUUAUUCUCUUACUUAAUUCUUUUGUUCAAUUUGUCUUCCCAUAAGCAACCAUUCUGUUGGGAGGAAGCUUCUUCUCAGCUUCACGUCUUCUUCUCUUCGCCUUCCUCGACAGUUUGCUUGUCUCAGCCUCGCCUUCCUCAUCUGCUAUCGGUGCUGCUGGCUUCUUCUCCUUAACAACAGCAUCUCGCUUCUCUUCACGAUCCCUCUUCUUGCUCUUCUUCUUGCUCCUCUUCUCAUCAGGAUCAUCAAUCCUCUCCAGCAACUCACUGAACUUGUGUUUCUGCUCCUUGAGUUUGUACUUGUUCACCUCCCAGUCCUUUUCCAUGUACGGAGCCAUCUUCUUCAAUGGUACGCACUGGUUCAGCUCAGUGUCGUCCAAGAAGAGUAUCUCUUCCUUCUCCAGCCCAUAGCUGUUUGGUUGUACUUUAGCAAACUUAAACCUUGUCUUCAAAUCUCCAAUUGUGUCCUCAUAGUCUAGCUUGUAGUACUCCUCCAUCAAAGCUUCCUGGGCUCUUUUCACAAGAGAUGCUUUUCUCUUUCUCUUCCUCUUACCCUCUCUCUCUUCUUCCUCAUCCACUUCUUCUUCUUCUUCCUCUUCAGGUUCUUCAUCAUCGUCCUUUUGCUUCAAAACCUUUUCUCUGGUGAUUCGCUCGCAACACUCUCUUUAAAUUGUUUUUUUUUUUUUAUAUCCUUCUCAAUCUCAAAUUUUCAUUUUUAUAUUCAAACAAACUAUAGUAUAUAAUUGGACUUUGGUAAUGUUUUGCUUUUUUUUCUCAUUUUCUGGCACUGAACCACGACUCAUUCAAACCUAAACCAACAAAAUUAAGCUACAACUAAUUUAAACUGACAGAAUUUGGUACCCACUAAACUAAAGAGGGAGCUCGCAAUGUAAUAAUAUAAUUACGUCUUGUUUGGGAUUUUCAGAAACUUUUUUUUGGCCCAAAGAUAACAAAACUAUUAUAAAGACGUAAAUAUAACAACUACACUAACUCAUAAAAACGCAACAACUUCACAAUCACCACCUCUCUAUUUAAACACGCCAUUGCACACACAUCUCACAUAUUCAUCAAACAAAUCUUUAAUCAGUUUAAAAUCUUCUUCCAGCAACACAAAGAAAAACAGAGAGACAGCUUUCUCUUCUCCAUGAUGAUGAUCAAGCAAUCACCAUUCUCCUCUCCAUUAACAGCAAUCUUCUUGCUCACACUUGCUGUUUUCGCAGCAGCGCUUGAACCUCCACCUGAAGACCCCAUUUUCGAGCUCUACAUGCACGAUGUACUUGGAGGAAGCAGCCCCACGGCGAGACCCAUCACAGGUUUGCUCGGCAACAUUUACAACGGUCAAGUUCCUUUUGCUAAGCAGAUUGGUUUCACUCCUCCCGAAAACGGCAUAGCCAUACCCAAUGCAAACGGCGCCCUUCCAACUGUUAACGGUAUCAACGGUGUACCUCUCGGGACAGGCUUGUCUGGUACAGCUUACUCUGGUCAGAACCUGAACGGGAUACAGACUCAGCUGGGUCCUGAUGGUUUGAGUCUCGGGUUUGGCACCAUCACGGUCAUCGAUGACAUACUCACAUCUGGUCCUGACUUGGGCUCGCAGCCACUUGGUAAGGCUCAAGGAGUUUACGUUGCAAGUUCCGGAGAUGGAAGCACACAGAUGAUGGCUUUCACGGCUAUGCUUGAAGGUGGAGAGUACAACGACAACCUCAACUUCUAUGGUAUUUACAGGAUUGGAAGCGCCAUGUCGCAUCUGUCAGUGACUGGAGGAACAGGUAGGUUCAAGAACGCUUGUGGCUUUGCAGAGGUCAGGCCUUUGAUUCCUUCCGGUCAGCAUCAAGUGGAUGGUGCAGAGUCUUUACUAAGGAUCAUUGUCCAUCUAAAGUACUAAGAGAUUUAAAAUGUAUACAUGAGUUUAUGCGUGAAUGUUCUUUUUGUUAUGUGUAACACGUAUUGAUUGAAAGCAAAACACAAAGUCUUGUUGUACAUCAACCCAACCUGGUGAUUCUCACACGGCUAAGCACAGUGGUCUCAUCUAAACCGUAAAGAGAAUCAAUCAAAUGCAUUUUCAAAGAAGCUGGACCGUUCGCCAACUCUUCACCCAACUCACCUGCGAUGCCAAAGACAGACAUAGCGGAAACAGUAGCUUCCAGUGGCUGUAACGGAUCGACAGCGAGAAAGGCAGCAACCAGGCCAGCUAGUGAACAUCCAGUUGCAGUGAUCCUUUGCAUCAUCUUUGUCCCGUUGUGGACACCAAUAACCCGUUUCCCAUCCGUAACGAUAUCAACAGCUCCUGAAACCGCAACAACAGCACCACUAGACAAAGCUAAUGACUUUGCAGCUUCUAUGGCCUCUGUAGAUUCAUGAGAGCUAUCCGCACCCUACAAUGAUUCAAUCAUCAAAACCUCUCUUUACGAGAUUCUUGAACCUUUAAAAGAUACCUUAGUCUGACCCUGCGAAGCAGAGCCCGAGAGAGCAAUGAUCUCAGAACCGUUUCCUUUGAUCACGCUAGGUUUAAGCUCAACGAGCUCCAAGCACGCCUUCAACCGGAAACCGGAGCAACUCACCGCGGCGGGAUCGAGAACCCAGGGCUUUCCGAGCUGAGCAGCGAGUUCGGCGGCGGCUUUCAUGGAGGGAAGCCAGUCAGGUGUAAGCGUGCCGACGUUGACGAAGAGAGCGUGAAUAUGAGGUGUGAAAUCGGCAACCUCAGCGACCGAAUGAACCAUCGCCGGCGAUGCGCCGGCGGAUAAAAGCGUGUUGGCCACGAGGUCCAUUGAGACGAAGUUGGUGAUGCACUGAACCAGCGGCGAUUGUCGCCGGACGGCCGUAAGGUGCGUCCACACGCCGGAGCUCCAUUCUUUUGAUUCCAUUCU
This 4182-nucleotide long non-coding RNA is filed under the name Brassica napus (rape). RNAcentral describes it as "long non-coding RNA (BNAP_LNC019757)". The record is from RNAcentral. Lineage: Eukaryota; Viridiplantae; Streptophyta; Magnoliopsida; Brassicales; Brassicaceae.